Molecule: ribosomal RNA, 443 nt
Filed under: Escherichia coli
Lineage: Bacteria; Pseudomonadati; Pseudomonadota; Gammaproteobacteria; Enterobacterales; Enterobacteriaceae
Description: partial 23S ribosomal RNA
Rfam family: Bacterial large subunit ribosomal RNA
Source: RNAcentral
CGAAAGGCGUAGUCGAUGGGAAACAGGUUAAUAUUCCUGUACUUGGUGUUACUGCGAAGGGGGGACGGAGAAGGCUAUGUUGGCCGGGCGACGGUUGUCCCGGUUUAAGCGUGUAGGCUGGUUUUCCAGGCAAAUCCGGAAAAUCAAGGCUGAGGCGUGAUGACGAGGCACUACGGUGCUGAAGCAACAAAUGCCCUGCUUCCAGGAAAAGCCUCUAAGCAUCAGGUAACAUCAAAUCGUACCCCAAACCGACACAGGUGGUCAGGUAGAGAAUACCAAGGCGCUUGAGAGAACUCGGGUGAAGGAACUAGGCAAAAUGGUGCCGUAACUUCGGGAGAAGGCACGCUGAUAUGUAGGUGAAGUCCCUCGCGGAUGGAGCUGAAAUCAGUCGAAGAUACCAGCUGGCUGCAACUGUUUAUUAAAAACACAGCACUGUGCAAACA